RNAcentral lists this ribosomal RNA (465 nucleotides) under uncultured bacterium. RNAcentral's name for it is "partial 16S ribosomal RNA". It matches the Rfam family "Bacterial small subunit ribosomal RNA", at positions 28 to 507 of the family's 1533-position model. The record is from RNAcentral.
GACGAACGCUGGCGGCGUGCUUAACACAUGCAAGUCGAACGGAAAGGCCCUGCUUGCAGGGUACUCGAGUGGCGAACGGGUGAGUAACACGUGGGUGAUCUGCCCUGCACUUCGGGAUAAGCCUGGGAAACUGGGUCUAAUACCGGAUAGGAGCCAUUUUGAGUGUGAUGGUUGGAAAGUUUUUUCGGUGUAGGAUGAGCUCGCGGCCUAUCAGCUUAUUGGUGGGGUAAUGGCCUACCAAGGCGGCGACGGGUAGCCGGCCUGAGAGGGUGGACGGCCACAUUGGGACUGAGAUACGGCCCAGACUCCUACGGGAGGCCGCAGUGGGGAAUAUUGCACCAUGGGCGCCAGCCUGAUGCAGCGACGCCGCGUGGGGGAUGACGGCCUUCGGGUUGUAAACUCCUUUCGCUAGGGACGAAGCUUUUUGUGACGGUACCUAGAUAAGAAGCACCGGCUAACUACGUG